GAUUACUUCUUCCAGUAUAAUGGGAUCGAAGUGCUUAGGUGCUUAGAUGCAUCCUACAUAUUCAUCAUUUUCAAUACUACUUGUUUUAUUUAGUUCCGCCAUAGAAUUUUGUUAUUAUAUUACUUAUUUUCUUUUUCUUUUUUAUAAACAUUGGACCACAACUGGCCGGUCCAUUAGCCUAAUCCCUACAAAUAUGUAGGGAGCGGGACUCGAUCCCUGGUGUGAUGGUGCAUGUCUAUCAGUGAACUUAUCAUUUGCCACUAGACUAAAAUCAC
This 275-nucleotide long non-coding RNA is filed under the name Capsella rubella. Its description in RNAcentral is "long non-coding RNA (CRUB_LNC004275)". Lineage: Eukaryota; Viridiplantae; Streptophyta; Magnoliopsida; Brassicales; Brassicaceae. The record is from RNAcentral.